GUAUCCGCUAUCGUCUUCUUAGGUGAGUGUUGCUUCUCGUGAUCAAAGAUCUGAUUUUCAAUUUUUCCUUUUUGUUUGUUCGUUUUUGUUGAUUUGUUUGUUCAUCUGAGAGAAAAUAACUGUCACAGAUCGGGCUUCAUUUCAUUGUUUUGAUUACUAUUUUCAGCUAUUAAUGAUCGAUUCAGUAAUGCGUUAGAUCUGUUUGGAUUUAGUUGUUUAUAAUGGAAAUGUUUGUUGUAUUUACAGUAACCAAUACUGAGAUACUAGCGAUUACAGUGUUCUGUCACGUGCUAAUAGUGUCGAUUUCUCCUGUUUUCAAGAAUUUUAACAAGUAGUUAGUGCGCGUUUGAUUUAAAUCGUAGUGGUUGAUACAAAGCCAUCAUGCAUGAAGCUUUAGCUUUCAUGUGUAUUGAGGCUUCUUAAUUCUUGCGUUCUACGCUGAUAGUUGUUACCUUAUUGCAGUCGCCUUUUCGCUUUCUAGAUUUUUUUUUUUUU
RNAcentral lists this unclassified non-coding RNA (495 nucleotides) under Hevea brasiliensis (rubber tree). The record is from RNAcentral. Lineage: Eukaryota; Viridiplantae; Streptophyta; Magnoliopsida; Malpighiales; Euphorbiaceae.